RNAcentral lists this ribosomal RNA (142 nucleotides) under Salmonella enterica subsp. enterica serovar Schwarzengrund. Its description in RNAcentral is "partial 16S ribosomal RNA". It matches the Rfam family "Bacterial small subunit ribosomal RNA", at positions 1404 to 1533 of the family's 1533-position model. Lineage: Bacteria; Pseudomonadati; Pseudomonadota; Gammaproteobacteria; Enterobacterales; Enterobacteriaceae. The record is from RNAcentral.
AUGGGAGUGGGUUGCAAAAGAAGUAGGUAGCUUAACCUUCGGGAGGGCGCUUACCACUUUGUGAUUCAUGACUGGGGUGAAGUCGUAACAAGGUAACCGUAGGGGAGCCUGCGGUUGGAUCACCUCCUUACCUUAAAGAAGC